Long non-coding RNA from Microplitis mediator, 638 nucleotides. RefSeq lists it as uncharacterized. Lineage: Eukaryota; Metazoa; Arthropoda; Insecta; Hymenoptera; Braconidae. The record is from RefSeq and is a predicted model, not a curated record. The transcript is spliced from 3 exons.
UCCGGCCACUUAGUCAAAUACAAUUUUCAUAUCAAAUUCAAAUUCAUUUUUUUUUUAGUCAGUCAAAUGGUUACCAGCCAAAUUUAAAAAAAGUUAAAACAAAACUCAAGUGCUGCGCUCUGCUCUCAAUAAUGUAGUUUUAUACCAUCAAUCAGUACAUGUGUAUUUUAAAUAUAUCAGCUGUUUAUGUAUAUAUGUAAAUAAUAUUAUUGUUUUGUUGAAUAAAAUCAUAUUUAUUAAAAACAGUAACAAUUGAUAAUGGAACAAUCAAAAUCGGAACGUUUUUUGCGCAACAGAAAAAAGAAUUGGAAAGAAAAACAUCUACUGGAUGACUAGAUUUCCGAAAUAUUUCGGAUAUAGAUUGAGUAAAUUCAAUGUUAUAAUCGAAUGGAACUGAGUAAAAUAAUGUUAAUUUAGUUUGGGAUGAAUAUUUAAAUUAAAAAUUAAUAGUUACCUCUGAAAUUCCUAAAUCUCUUUUAGUCAUCAUUGUAUAUAUCAUCCAAAAUGGUAAUUGAAAAACACCAAAUCCCAGUAGCGUCCAACCAACGGCUAUCAAAAAUAACAAUGACAAUUUUUAAAUAUAUUUAUAACAACUUGAUGAUCAAAAUGAUAUAAAAUAAUCUAUAUAUACCAUAAGC